UAAGGUUUCCUGAGGAAGGCUCGUCCGCUCAGGGCUAGUCGGGACCUAAGCCGAGGCCGAAAGGCGUAGGCGAUGGAUAACAGGUUGAUAUUCCUGUACCACCUCCUCACCAUUUGAGCAAUGGGGGGACGCAGGAGGAUAGGGUAAGCGCGGUAUUGGAUAUCCGCGUCCAAGCAGUUAGGCUGGGAAAUAGGCAAAUCCGUUUCCCGUGAAGGCUGAGCUGUGAUGGCGAGCGAAUUAUAGUAGCGAAGUUCCUGAUUCCACACUGCCAAGAAAAGCCUCUAGCGAGGUGAGAGGUGCCCGUACCGCAAACCGACACAGGUAGGCGAGGAGAGAAUCCUAAGGUGAUCGAGAGAACUCUCGUUAAGGAACUCGGCAAAAUGACCCCGUAACUUCGGGAGAAGGGGUGCUCUGUUAGGGUACAAGCCCGAGAGAGCCGCAGUGAAUAGGCCC
RNAcentral lists this ribosomal RNA (453 nucleotides) under Bacillus siamensis. RNAcentral's name for it is "bacterial LSU rRNA". It matches the Rfam family "Bacterial large subunit ribosomal RNA", at positions 1346 to 1793 of the family's 2925-position model. Lineage: Bacteria; Bacillati; Bacillota; Bacilli; Caryophanales; Bacillaceae. The record is from RNAcentral.